GAUGAACGCUGGCGGCGUGCCUAAUACAUGCAAGUCGAGCGAACGGACGAGAAGCUUGCUUCUCUGAUGUUAGCGGCGGACGGGUGAGUAACACGUGGAUAACCUACCUAUAAGACUGGGAUAACUUCGGGAAACCGGAACUAAUACCGGAUGAUAUUUUGAACCGCAUGGUUCAAAAGUGAAAGACGGUCUUGCUGUCACUUAUAGAUGGAUCCGCGCUGCAUUAGCUAGUUGGUGAGGUAACGGCUUACCAAGGCAACGAUGCAUAGCCGACCUGAGAGGGUGAUCGGCCACACUGGAACUGAGACACGGUCCAGACUCCUACGGGAGGCAGCAGUAGGGAAUCUUCCGCAAUGGGCGAAAGCCUGACGGAGCAACGCCGCGUGAGUGAUGAAGGUCUUCGGAUCGUAAAACUCUGUUAUUAGGGAAGAACAUAUGUGUAAGUAACUGUGCACAUCUUGACGGUACCUAAUCAGAAAGCCACGGCUAACUACGUG
This 497-nucleotide ribosomal RNA is filed under the name uncultured bacterium. RNAcentral's name for it is "partial 16S ribosomal RNA". It matches the Rfam family "Bacterial small subunit ribosomal RNA", at positions 28 to 507 of the family's 1533-position model. The record is from RNAcentral.